Molecule: long non-coding RNA, 2012 nt
Organism: Cucumis melo (muskmelon)
Lineage: Eukaryota; Viridiplantae; Streptophyta; Magnoliopsida; Cucurbitales; Cucurbitaceae
Exons: 3
Source: RefSeq, a predicted model, not a curated record
UCUAGACAUCACAACGAGCCCAACACAAUGAAAAUCACUCAAAGUGAAGCUAAAGCAAGCAAGAACGGACCAAGAAACGUUAGAGUGGCAUUUUUUAAAUAAUCAAAAGAAAAGCGCCACAAUACCAAAGGAUGGCACUUGAAGGCAAUACCCAUAAAAACACGAAGUGUCGCGACACCCAAGUCAAGGGCCGUAGAUGUAUUCAAAAAGAAUGAAGAUAAGGGUAAAAAGUGAGUUUAAUUUGAAGGAAGGGGCAUUAUGGUCAUUUUCUAUUUAUUAUUACUUUUUUAAAAAGAAAGAAAUCGGGAAAUUCUUUCGAGCACGUAACCCCUCUUCUCGAAUCUUUUCCCUUCAUCGGCUCCUUCCUCUCGUUGUCAUCUCUCCCUAUCUCUCUGUCAUUCUCUUCCGCUCACCAUCCCUCUCCAUCACCAUUGCUAAGUUGCACAUCCGCUCAUUGACGUCCCGUGAACACCAUCAUUGCCACCGUGCCAUUGUUGUCCUGCUUACCUUGUACCAUAUCUUAAAAUGUCACGCCAUCACCCAACCAACCGAAGAUCAAGUUAGCCACGGUGUCCAUGUUUCUUUCAAAUCCACCACUUAGAGUAAGAUUCUCAAGAUUUGAAUUUUAGAAUAGCUAACCGAUGGUCGGUGGGUCUAUGUGCACAUAUGAGCAUGGUUGAAUCAAGGUUGUUACUGUAGAAGGUACUAAAUAUGCAUGAGCUCAGUUUGGUUCUGUUUUUCCAUGUGGAUAUGGGUCACGUGUGGACUAUUUUGGGUCAUUUAUUUAAUAUUCUACCAUGGUUGGAUUGAGUACAGGUUUGUAGGCAUUACUUUUGAUUUAUAGUAUUAUGUGAUGAUAACGUUUUAAUUAUUAUUUCAUUAUCGAUGCAUAUUUACACAUUUUUUAGAGCAUGUUUUACGAGCUUUUACUUCUAAAAAUUUUCCACUCACUGGGUUGGAUUGGGUGGAGGUUGUUACUGUGUAAGGUUCUUGAAGCUCAUUAAGAGCUCAAUGACUAUUGCUGAAUAUAAGAAGAAGUAUAGAGAACUAUCUAAGUACGCCACUAGUGUGAUUGAGGAUGAGGAUGAAAGGUGCAAGCGAUUUGAAGAAGGAUUACGAGAGGAUAUUCGUACUCCUAUAAUAGCUUGUGCAUAGUGGAUUGAUUUCUCCAAAUUAGUAGAGACGACUGCUUGUCGUGCCAACCCAACGGUACCAAAAACUUAGACUUGUUGCCAGCUAAUUUAGCUUUGGAGCUUAAGAGAAUCAUGUUGUUGCUUACGUUGGUAUUUAAAUCUACUUGAAGAGUCAUUAAUCAUGGUCAUUGCAUAGAUACUCUCUAUGUAUCUCUUCAUCAUGUAACUUCUAAGUCCUCGUUGAGUGCAAAUUUUUCUGUUGCUUGUCCAAGUGUGAGCGAAACAAUAGGUUUAUAUGAGUGAUCCAGAGUUGAACACAGAGAAUUGAUAUCAAAACUUAGAUCUAGGAUUCACUAGGGGUUUAGGCAAUAUAAAAUGAAUAACCUAUACAGUGUGAAAGAAUGUAAAUUUAACUCUGUCUACUUAUCUACACUAGAGAAUCUGUAAAGAAAAAUUAAGAUGGAUGCGAGAUGAAAUUGUGAACUAACUUGUAUAAAAGAAGGGGGUGAAGGAAAGUCUGUGCAUUACCAGGCGAUUAAGCAAUAAGAGAAUCUUGAUGCGAUAUAACUAAGUUGACCAGCUUAUGACGAAGGCGAGCACCUCUUGGUGUCUUCAAACGUCACACUUGCUCACCUCUCGGGAUCCAAAUGACCAAGCUGUCUUAAACUAGUUAUACCUAGAACGCUUCACUUACAAGACUUAUAGAGCUUCUCAUUUAAGGGUGACAACCUCUAGACACCUAAUACCCAUACUUGUUCUCCUUUGGAGACAUAAAUGAUGGAAGUUAUCUCACCAAGGUGGAGUUUGUCUCCAAGCUCCUCCUCGCGUGUUAGCCAUAUCCUUGCUACUUACCUUCUUUGGUAGAUGGCGAUAUACACU